UAUUCUGCCCCAUGGGGAAGGAUGAGAAGCUUCGACUAAGGUUCGACUCGAGCGCCAGCGAGAGAACGUUGCCACAGGCAACGGCCCGAAGGGCGAGGCGCUUUAGCGCCGAGUAAUCCUUCCCCCACCACCA
This 133-nucleotide small RNA is filed under the name Klebsiella pneumoniae. RNAcentral's name for it is "RtT sRNA". It matches the Rfam family "RtT RNA". From Rfam's summary of the family: This family represents a bacterial cis-regulatory element known as RtT RNA. The exact function of RtT is unknown although it is thought that it may be involved in changing the cellular response in relation to amino acid starvation. Lineage: Bacteria; Pseudomonadati; Pseudomonadota; Gammaproteobacteria; Enterobacterales; Enterobacteriaceae. RNAcentral also lists the same sequence under 210 other names. The record is from RNAcentral.